CGCACAAGCGGCGGAGCAUGUGGAUUAAUUCGAUGCAACGCGAAGAACCUUACCUGGGUGUGACAUAUACCGGAAAGCCGUAGAGAUACGGCCCCCCUUGUGGUCGGUAUACAGGUGGUGCAUGGCUGUCGUCAGCUCGUGUCGUGANNNNNUGGGUUAAGUCCCGCAACGAGCGCAACCCUUGUCCUGUGUUGCCAGCGCGUAAUGGCGGGGACUCGCAGGAGACUGCCGGGGUCAACUCGGUAGGAAGGUGGGGACGACGUCAAGUCAUCAUGCCCCUUAUGUCCAGGGCUUCACACAUGCUACAAUGGCCGGUACAGAGGGCUGCGAUACCGUGAGGUGGAGCGAAUCCCUUAANNNNNNUCUCAGUUCGGAUCGGGGUCUGCAACUCGACCCCGUGAAGUCGGAGUCGCUAGUAAUCGCAGAUCAGCAACGCUGCGGUGAAUACGUUCCCCGGGCCUUGUACACACCGCCC
Molecule: ribosomal RNA, 475 nt
Filed under: Rhodococcus sp. (in: high G+C Gram-positive bacteria)
Lineage: Bacteria; Bacillati; Actinomycetota; Actinomycetes; Mycobacteriales; Nocardiaceae
Description: Rhodococcus sp. partial 16S ribosomal RNA
Rfam family: Bacterial small subunit ribosomal RNA
Source: RNAcentral